UGCCCAGGGACACACAGCUGACCGGGGCUGAGAUGGUUCCAGAGCCCAGACCUGCUGCUUCUAACCAAGACCCCUAGUGUGGUGCUCUCUCUACUAUCCCAGGGACUUGUGAAAAUCAUGGAUUACUGGGCUCCACUUCCGGAGCUUCUGAUCCAGUGAGACUGUGGUGGGGCAGGAGUUGGCCUUUGAAGACCAAGACCAGGGAACUGGGACCAAGACGAAACAUGGUUAAGUGCUGACACCAUCGAGCAUUCAGGAUUUAUCCUGGCAAAGGCAUCAGAGUCCGCUAAAAAUAACUGCCUAUUGUCUUACCUCUGACAUUGCUGAGGGAUGUGACACUUACCCGGAGAAAUCCAGAAAGGCAGACGGACAUCCAGUUUGUGAGGAGUUUUUCGACGACGGACUCCGUGCGUCUCAGCAUGAGUUUCGGCUGCAUGUUACUACACUGUUCCAUCAAGUCCCUGGUCAGCACCUCUAGGAUGCUGGUCAGGUAGACCAGCUUGGUUUGCAGUGCAAUGGUUAGGAAGGAGGCAAACAGACACCUGUUGAAAAAGAGAGCUGGGUGAACCAUUGGCUGCAGGCCUAGCUGGACACCCAUGGGAGUUUCCAUGGAAGCUCACUGGCAGGGCAGGGAGC
Molecule: long non-coding RNA, 636 nt
Filed under: Homo sapiens (human)
Lineage: Eukaryota; Metazoa; Chordata; Mammalia; Primates; Hominidae
Description: novel transcript, antisense to PLXNC1
Source: RNAcentral